UACAGAGGGUGCAAGCGUUAAUCGGAAUGACUGGGCGUAAAGGGCGUGUAGGCGGUUAUAUAAGUUAGAUGUGAAAUCCCUGGGCUUAACCUAGGAACGCCAUCUAAUACUGUAUAACUAGAGUACAGGAGAGGGAAGUGGAAUUUCAGGUGUAGCGGUGAAAUGCGUAGAUAUCUGAAGGAACACCAGUGGCGAAGGCGGCUUCCUGGCCUGAUACUGACGCUGAGGCGCGAAAGCGUGGGGAGCGAACAGG
Molecule: ribosomal RNA, 253 nt
Filed under: uncultured bacterium
Lineage: Bacteria
Description: partial 16S ribosomal RNA
Rfam family: Bacterial small subunit ribosomal RNA
Source: RNAcentral